RNAcentral lists this ribosomal RNA (1857 nucleotides) under Triticum aestivum (bread wheat). Its description in RNAcentral is "partial small subunit ribosomal RNA". Lineage: Eukaryota; Viridiplantae; Streptophyta; Magnoliopsida; Poales; Poaceae. The record is from RNAcentral.
AUGUCAGGAAUAAAGAAGAUCCAUAACCAGCUAGCAUAUAAUAUUGAAGCUUACAUAAAUGGCACAAAAUAUAUAAUAGAUGAAAUUACAAUAAGAGAUUUGUCAGUAAUAAAUGAUGACAUGAUAAUAGGGUUAAGAUUUUUACAACAAUCUUUACAAACCACAAUCAUACAUGAAGAGGGGGUAACAUUUAUUCCUUAUCAAGAUAAUGUUCCAUACAUAUCUGAAGUGCAAAAACAAAGAAAGUCCUUGCAAAAUGUAGAAAUAUCUAAUUUAGAUGAUGAAUAUAGCACAAGUCCAGAUCCCCUUGAAUUCUGUAAAGACGAAGAACUUAGUGAGACCAUAGAAGAAUAUCAUAUAGAAAAUACAUGUACUGAAUGCAUUGGGUUGCAAUCAUUCUCUCCAAAUUGGUAUAGAGAUAUAAAAUCCAAAAAGGAUAUAGAUAAGAUUGUGCAAAGACUAGAAAGUAUACAAAUUAUUGGAGAAAUACCAAUGAAACAUUGGGAUAAGAACUCUAUAGUUUGCAAAAUAAAUAUCAUAAAUCCAGAUUAUAUAAUUAAGUCAGGACCAAUAGAAGCAACUCCUAAAGAUAUCGAAGAGUUCAAAAUGCAUAUUGAAGAGUUAUUAAAGUUAAAAGCUAUAAGAGAAAGCAGAAGCCCUCAUCGAUCUGCUGCUUUUAUAGUUAGAAAUCAUGCUGAAGAAGUUAGAGGUAAAUCUAGAAUGGUAAUUAACUUUAAAAGGCUUAAUGAUAAUACAGUUGACGAUGCAUACAACAUACCUAAUAAGCAGGAAUGGAUUAACAGAAUACAAGGAAGUAAAUAUUUCUCCAAAUUCGAUUUAAAGGCAGGAUUUUGGCAAGUAAAAAUGGCUGAAGAAUCUAUUCCAUGGACAGCAUUUACUUGUCCACAAGGCCAUUAUGAAUGGCUAGUAAUGCCAUUAGGCCUAAAGAAUGCACCUGCACUAUUUCAAAGAAAGAUUCAAAAUAUAUUUAAUGAGAAUCAAGCAUUUAUAUUAGUAUACGUAGAUGAUUUGUUAGUAUUCUCAAAAUCAUACAAAGAGCAUAUAGCCCAUCUUGAAGUGUUCUUUCGAAAGGUAGAACAAAACGGGCUCAUACUAUCUAAAAAGAAGAUGGAGAUUUGCAAAGAGAAAAUAAAUUUCCUUGGUCAUGAAAUAGGAGAAGGAAAAAUAUAUCUACAAGAACAUAUUGCAAAGAAAAUAUUAGAGUUUCCUGAUAAUAUGAGUGAUAAAAAGGUUUUACAACAGUUCUUAGGAAUUGUAAACUAUGCGCGAAACUAUAUAGAUAACUUAGCAAAGCUAGCAGGACCUUUAUAUGCUAAAUUAAGAAAAAAUGGUCAAAGAUACUUCAAUUCUGAAGAUAUAAAAUUAGUAAAGGCCAUCAAGGAAAAGGUCAGGAAUUUAAAACCCCUAGAAUUGCCUUUAGAAGACAAUUAUUUUAUAAUUGAGACAGAUGCAUCUAAGGUAGGAUGGGGUGCGAUACUAAAACAAAAGCCCAAUAAAUACUCUCCAAAGGCAGACGAAAAAAUAUGUAGAUAUGCUUCAGGAAGUUACAAAUUAAAGACGGUAAAUAAUAUUGAUAGAGAAAUUCUUGCAGUUGUAAAUGCAAUAAAUGCAUUUAGGUUAUAUCUAGGAUUUAAAGAAUUUACAGUACGAACAGACUGUGAAGCCAUAUGCCGAUAUUACAAUAAAAUUAAUAGUAAGAAAAGCUCAACCAGAAGAUGGGUCUUAUUUGAAGACACCAUAGCUGGGAAUGGUUAUAAAGUUAUUUUUGAGCAUAUUAAGGGGAAGGAUAAUACCUUACCUGACAUAUUUUCUCGUGCAUCAAAUUUGCAGGAAUGA